UACAGAGGCCCCAAGCGUUAGCCGGAAUUAUUGGGCGUAAAGCGUCCGCAGGUGGGAUAGUAAGUCUGUUGUUAAAUCCUAAAGCUCAACUUUAGGGCCGCAACGGAUACUGCUGUUCUUGAGACAGGCAGAGGUAAACGGAAUUCCUGGUGGAGCGGUGAAAUGCGUUGAUAUCAGGGAGAACACCAAUUGCGAAGGCAGUUUACUGGGCCUGUUCUGACACUAAGGGACGACAGCGUGGGGAGCGAAUGGG
RNAcentral lists this ribosomal RNA (253 nucleotides) under uncultured bacterium. RNAcentral's name for it is "partial 16S ribosomal RNA". It matches the Rfam family "Bacterial small subunit ribosomal RNA", at positions 524 to 776 of the family's 1533-position model. The record is from RNAcentral.